CCUACGGGAGGCAGCAGUGAGGAAUAUUGGUCAAUGGCCGGAAGGCUGAACCAGCCAAGCCGCGUGAAGGACGAAGGUGCCAAGCAUUGUAAACUUCUUUUGUCAAGGGACAAAAUCAGGCUCGAGAGCCUGACCGAGGGUACUUGAAGAAAAAGCAUCGGCUAACUCCGUGCCAGCAGCCGCGGUAAUAAGGAGGAUGCGAGCGUUAUCCGGAUGUAGUGGGUUUAAAUGGUGCGUAGGCGGGCUGUUAAGUCAGCGGUAAAAGCCCGGGGCUCAACCCCGGCGAGCCGUUGAAACUGGCUGUCUUGAGAUGUCGAGAGGUAUGCGGAAUGCGCAGUGUAGCGGUGAAAUGCAUAGAUAUCACGCAGAACUCCGAUUGCGAAGGCAGCUUACUAAGCCAUAACUGACACUGAAGCACGAAAGCGUGGGGAUCAAACAGGAUUAGAUACCCUUGUAGUC
RNAcentral lists this ribosomal RNA (459 nucleotides) under uncultured bacterium. RNAcentral's name for it is "partial 16S ribosomal RNA". It matches the Rfam family "Bacterial small subunit ribosomal RNA", at positions 338 to 795 of the family's 1533-position model. The record is from RNAcentral.